AAGGAAGAAAGAAAGGAAGUGGUGGCUUGGAGCAGAUAAUACCUGGAUGCCACGCCCCCGGCAACCCUUGGACCUCACCGCCCCGUUGAAGAGGCGUCAUGCCCCAUGCUAGAUGGAAAAAAGUCAGGCUCUGAGACACCAGCAAUUUCCCCGGGCCACUGGGCUUCCAACCCAGAGUCUACAAGAUGAGCACAGCCCAACAUGGAGAAGGGUCUAGGACAGCAGUUGAAGCUUGGAGAUCAGCUGAGCCUGCGAUUUGGGACAGCAGACAGUUCCUAGUGCUCAAGGGGGACCGGGAGGCAGAGGAAUUGGGUCAGCUCCUGGUCCAGCCUCCUAUAAGGCCUGGCCAGUGAGUAAUUUUGCCUCUGUUUCCAUCCUCAGGGGGGUGAGGUGGAAGGGAGCCAUCAUUCAGGGCAGCGGGGAGGACUGACUCUGUUUUCUGUGAACUUUCAGUUCCUAUCUUCUGCCUAUUGUUUUCUAUUCAGUUGUUGGUCUUACUUUCUCAAAUUUUGGGAGUUCUUUCUAUGUGUGGAAAGUCAGCCUUUGUGAUUCUGUGGUCUGAGGUGCACAUAUUGUCUAGUCUGUCAUUUGUCUCCUGAUGUUGGUUAUGUGUUGUGUGUGUGUCUGUGUGUGUGUUUGAGUGUAGUCAGGGUUAUCUAUCAUCCUUGUGAUGCUUGUGGCUUCGGGGUUGGAGUUAGGGCCGCCUUCCCCAACGUGAUCCCUGCUUCUCUUGGUUCUUGCAAAGUCUGUCUGUUUACCCUGGGGCUGUCCAUGCCCUGGCUUUGAUAGUGUGAAGUGUGGAACCAGUUUCAUCUUCUUCCAAAGGCUGCUCCUUGGCCCCAAUGCUAUUUGUUAAAUGGCCCAACUUGCUCCCCUGGACCCUUUGUCCUGGGGUCCAUCCCUGGGCCCUCCUCUCCCUGGGUAUGUGCUGGCCUCUGUGUCCAGAAGGCAAAAGGACCCAUGGACUCACCUGAGCAGGGGAUUUUUCACAGGCAACCACCUUGC
RNAcentral lists this long non-coding RNA (1005 nucleotides) under Homo sapiens (human). RNAcentral's name for it is "long non-coding RNA NONHSAT222311". Lineage: Eukaryota; Metazoa; Chordata; Mammalia; Primates; Hominidae. The record is from RNAcentral.